This 74-nucleotide transfer RNA is filed under the name Candidatus Similichlamydia laticola. It matches the Rfam family "tRNA". From Rfam's summary of the family: Transfer RNA (tRNA) molecules are approximately 80 nucleotides in length. Their secondary structure includes four short double-helical elements and three loops (D, anti-codon, and T loops). Lineage: Bacteria; Pseudomonadati; Chlamydiota; Chlamydiia; Parachlamydiales; Candidatus Parilichlamydiaceae. The record is from Rfam by way of RNAcentral.
GCGCUGGUAGCUUAAUCGGAUGGAGCACCCGGCUACGAACCGGGAGGUUGGAGGUUCGAAUCCUCUCCGGCGCG